UGUUGAAAUAAAAUUAAAAUCCAGAAAUUUCAAAAUUAACAAAAACAGUAAGCAUUUUUAAAGCAAGUAAAUGCAUUGUGAAUAAGAUAUUUUUUCUCAUUUGUACCUUGUUUGAAUUAUGAACAUGGUUUAUGUCCAACUACAUUAAUUCGAAUCUAAUUUGGUCAAUGACCAAAAGGGAGCAACCAUAGAAGCCUAAUAGCAAUAUCGAUUUCAACAUCAUGACUCAUGAGGCAACUGGAAAAUGCGUCCGCCGGAGAUACACGGCAUACACGUGAGCUGCGAGAUGAUAGAGAGAAGAGGCAUUACGGCCGAUUGCUUUAUGAUUAUUUCCCGGCAAUUAAGUGAAUUUAUUGGCAAAGGUAAACAUAUACGCACACGCGUCCCAUCCCAGACCCGGGCCGCUCCCAGAUUGUUGCGAUUUGGGAUGCUGUUUAACUAUAUCGAUUGGCAAUCAUCGUCGAGGCGCACACUAGUGCCCUCACCCACACAUCGUAUAGUAUUUCCAUCAAUGCCUUCGAUGAUGGCCUUAUCCGAAAUCAAUUUGUUAAAUGCAAGACUCAGCAGCAGCUACAGUAGCAGGCAUCAGUUUUCUGUUGGGGUCGUUUUCCCAUGGCUCCUACUGAACUUCUCUGGGUUGCCUACGAAAGCAAAGUGUUAACCGAAAAUGAAGUUAGUUCGCCCGGUGUCAGACCCACACAAAGACCCGUCCAGUUGCUAGCCAGUCAGCCCUUCUAACCCUUGAAUGCCUUGGCCACAACUUAUUCCACUUGAGCUGAUUUUCUUGAGCGAUUUACGCACAGCCAAAAACAUAAAACUUCCGCAAUUGCCCCAACAACCUCAGCAAAGAUGCUGGCAGACGCUUAAAGAAGUUAAAGAAGUCUGUCUGUCUAAGCUCCAUCCCUUUCAUUUCCUUUGUCAUCGAUGCGCAGCAAAAAUAACUACAUCGAAUGAACUAAACUUCAACUUAAGUUUCCUGUCAGCAGGUGGUCCAACAAACGCACCAAAACGAAGGAACUCUAAGUCUUUUGUAUCUAACUAAGCGUUCAUCAUUUGACUAAAUCGUAAAUUAUGCUUAUACAUUUGUUCUAUUUGCUGGGCGCCGCCAUCCCCCAGACCAUCCCCACUACCCCUUGGACCCUCGCGAAGUACAUUUUACCUCAUUCACUGACUUCUCAAGCGGAUAUUGAUCAAAAUUUGCUGCAAUUUGCUUGAUUGAUUGAUGGGCGCCAGCACUUACUGCAUAUAUGUAUGUACAAAUGUAUGUAUAUUGUACACUAGCUAUAUCCGGGAGAAUCUUUCUGAAUGAAAUGAAACUCACGGUCUGCAAACAUAAACACUUUGUGUGAAUGAAGCAAAACAUGGAAGUUUGUUAUUCACCAUCGAUCGAUCAAGCAAUCGGGAAUAUGAAAAUCAAUUUGAGCAUCUGUAUUAUGUCAAUUGAUGUGAAAAGUUAUACAGAAAUUCAUAGACAGUAUUUCAGUUAAACAAAUACUACAUUUUGAUUGGGAUCGAUGUAUCUUAUCAAUAAAUUAUAAAUGUGUAUAAUGAUGGCUGUUUUCUAUAUUCUGCGGUUAAAGUUACAUUUUUAAUAGGCUUGAUGCCUUGUUUCUAUUCAUGAUAAAUUGUUAUCGAAAUUUUGGCAUUAGGCAAUUCAACAGUGAACAGAAAUCGGACGAAAAAAAAAAGAAACAGUUUCCCCACCAUUUUUGAUCCAUAAAUAUGCCAACAAGAGAUAAGAAACCCUGGGAGAAGGAAAGGGUGCAAAUAGAAGAAAAUGAAAGAAAGAAACCGAAAUGUAGGAAUUGUACGAGACAAAUUUAUGAGCUUCAUUUAAAAUAUGCCAAGUUUUAGUUCACUUCUGUCUGGGGCGAGUAUCCAUUUUUCGCUUUUGCGAUAUCAGGGGCGGCCGGUUUAAUGGGGAGGGAAGGAGACAUCAUCGUGGUUAAAAAGGCGCUUAAAAGUCAAACAGAGCCCACUGCCAGCGACCAAUGGCUGAAUCGCUGGACGAGUUCCCACUUUCCCGCUAUCCAAUGUCCGCAGCCUGCCACCCGCCAGCAACUUUACAAAAUGUCUGCAAAUUUAUUAAGUUGAAAAAAUUUUAUGAGUUGAA
Drosophila willistoni is the source of this 2113-nucleotide long non-coding RNA. RefSeq lists it as uncharacterized. The record is from RefSeq and is a predicted model, not a curated record. Lineage: Eukaryota; Metazoa; Arthropoda; Insecta; Diptera; Drosophilidae. The transcript is spliced from 2 exons.